AUCGCGGAUCAGCAUCCCACGGUGAAUACGUUCCCGGGCUUUGUACACGCCGCCCGUCACACCAUGGGAGUUGGCUUGACCAGAAGACGGUGCGCUAAUUUCGGAGGCAGCCGUCCACGGUCAGGUCAGCGAUUGGGGUGAAGUGGUAACAAGGUAGCCGUAGGGGAACAUGCGGCCGGAUCACCU
RNAcentral lists this ribosomal RNA (186 nucleotides) under uncultured bacterium. RNAcentral describes it as "partial 16S ribosomal RNA". It matches the Rfam family "Bacterial small subunit ribosomal RNA", at positions 1341 to 1528 of the family's 1533-position model. The record is from RNAcentral.